Molecule: long non-coding RNA, 339 nt
Organism: Siniperca chuatsi (mandarin fish)
Lineage: Eukaryota; Metazoa; Chordata; Actinopteri; Centrarchiformes; Sinipercidae
Exons: 3
Source: RefSeq, a predicted model, not a curated record
CUGAUCCCCAGAGCAGUGAGGAGAUCAAUAGAGGAGGGAGAAACCGCUGAGGGCGUCUAGUGGUCAGGAGAGAGAGAGGUGAUGGCAUGCAGCAAAGGUCCCAGGAUGGACUCGAACCCAGGCCACUGCGCAUUAUCUCUGCCUCCCACUGAUCUAACAAUGGUCUCCAGAACGUCUCAUGCUGUCACUUUGCCACUUUUGGAUACGGCUCUAAUGAAACAACUCCAGACUCAGGCACCAGUGCCAACACAUGAAAUCAGCCACAAGGAUCACCUUGUACCCGGAAACUUUUACAGUGAACUCAUAAAUUGUGUCCUAGACGUUUUUAUAAAUAACCAU